AAUGAACGCUGGCGGCGUGCUUAACACAUGCAAGUCGUACGAGAAACCCCGGCUUGCCGGGGGAGUAAAGUGGCGCACGGGUGAGUAACGCGUGGGUAAUCUACCCUCGAAUUGGGGAUAACACACCGAAAGGUGUGCUAAUACCGAAUAAGACCACGACCUCCACGGGGGUUGCGGUCAAAGAUGGCCUCUGCUUGCAAGCUGUCGUUUGAGGAUGAGCCCGCGUACCAUUAGCUUGUUGGUGGGGUAAUGGCCUACCAAGGCAACGAUGGUUAGCUGGUCUGAGAGGAUGGCCAGCCACACUGGAACUGGAACACGGUCCAGAAUCCUACGGGAGGCAGCAGGGAGGAAUUUUGCGCAAUGGGGGAAACCCUGACGCAGCAACGCCGCGUGAGUGAAGAAGGCCUUCGGGUUGUAAAGCUCUGUCAAGUGGGAAGAACCUUUUUCGGCCGAAUACGCCGAGAAACUGACGGUACCGCUGAAGGAAGCACCGGCUAACUCCGUGCCAGCCGCCGCCGUAA
RNAcentral lists this ribosomal RNA (521 nucleotides) under uncultured bacterium. RNAcentral's name for it is "partial 16S ribosomal RNA". It matches the Rfam family "Bacterial small subunit ribosomal RNA", at positions 29 to 523 of the family's 1533-position model. The record is from RNAcentral.